Molecule: ribosomal RNA, 411 nt
Filed under: Verrucomicrobiota bacterium
Lineage: Bacteria; Pseudomonadati; Verrucomicrobiota
Description: Verrucomicrobia bacterium partial 16S ribosomal RNA
Rfam family: Bacterial small subunit ribosomal RNA
Source: RNAcentral
UGGGGAAUCUUGCGCAAUGGGGGAAACCCUGACGCAGCGACGCCGCGUGCGGGAUGAAGGCCUUCGGGUUGUAAACCGCUUUCAGCAGGGACGAGGCCUUAUGGUGACGGUACCUGCAGAAGAAGCUCCGGCUAAAUACGUGCCAGCAGCCGCGGUAAUACGUAUGGAGCAAGCGUUAUCCGGAUUCAUUGGGCGUAAAGCGCUCGUAGGCGGUCUGUUAGGUCGGCAAGUUAAAUCCGGGGGCUCAACCCCCGUCCGCUUCCGAUACCGGCAGAGUUGAGUUUGGUAGGGGAAGGUGGAAUUCCUGGUGUAGCGGUGGAAUGCGCAGAUAUUAGGAAGAACACCGGUGGCGAAGGCGGCCUUCUGGGCCAUAACUGACGCUGAGGAGCGAAAGCUAGGGGAGCGAACAGG